CCUACGGGUGGCAGCAGUGAGGAAUAUUGGUCAAUGGACGAGAGUCUGAACCAGCCAAGUAGCGUGAAGGAUGACUGCCCUAUGGGUUGUAAACUUCUUUUAUAGGGGAAUAAAAUGUAGCAAGUGUGGGAUUUUGUAUGGACCAUAUGAAUAAGGAUCGGCUAACGCCGUGCCAGCAGCCGCGGUAAUACGGAGGAUCCGAGCGUUAUCCGGAGUUAUUGGGGUUAAAGGGAGCGUAGGUGGAUUGGUAAGUCAGUUGUGAAAGUUUGCGGCUCAACCGUAAAAUUGCAGUUGAAACUGGCAGUCUUGUGUACAGUAGAGGUGGGCGGCAUUCGUGGUGUAGCUGUGACAUGCUUAGAUAUCACG
Molecule: ribosomal RNA, 366 nt
Filed under: uncultured bacterium
Lineage: Bacteria
Description: partial 16S ribosomal RNA
Rfam family: Bacterial small subunit ribosomal RNA
Source: RNAcentral